UACAGAGGUCCCAAGCGUUGUUCGGAUUCACUGGGCGUAAAGGGUGCGUAGGCGGCCGCGCAAGUCUGGCGUGAAAGCCCCGGGCUCAGCCCGGGAAGGGCGCUCGAAACGGCGCGGCUCGAGUGCCGGAGGGGAGAGUGGAAUUCCUGGUGUAGCGGUGAAAUGCGUAGAUAUCAGGAGGAAUACCGGUGGCGAAAGCGACUCUCUGGACGGCAACUGACGCUGAGGCACGAAAGCGUGGGGAGCAAACAGG
RNAcentral lists this ribosomal RNA (253 nucleotides) under uncultured bacterium. RNAcentral's name for it is "partial 16S ribosomal RNA". It matches the Rfam family "Bacterial small subunit ribosomal RNA", at positions 524 to 776 of the family's 1533-position model. The record is from RNAcentral.